This 2018-nucleotide small RNA is filed under the name Pongo abelii (Sumatran orangutan). RNAcentral's name for it is "retained intron". Lineage: Eukaryota; Metazoa; Chordata; Mammalia; Primates; Hominidae. The record is from RNAcentral.
AAGUACACAUAUGUAAACACAUGCUAGCCUGCUCUUUGGGCUGUUUUCACUGUGUCCUGCGUCCCUCCCUGUUCCUCCUUCAUCUUUCCCUUUCUCUUCCCACUCCCACAACCCUCUCAUUAAAGGCCUCAUCCCCGCCCUCUGCUGAUAACCAAGUGCUGAGUCAGGCCGAGAACAUAAACCAGGCGCUCUGAAUUUCUCCUUCCAGGCUCCCCAUGCUUUCAUUCUGCACCUGAGAAAACCAUUUUAACAUUUUCUGUUCUAGCCUUUAUGUAAUUACCAUUAAUUUCUAUGAGCUAAUUUAAUGUCCUCUUCAGAGUCUAUGGCUGGAAGGUAAUAAUCCUUCAGUUUGAGUAAUAAUAAUAAUCUUUACUACUGUUUUGGCCCAUAACAUCUUAAACACCCAUUCUUGGAACUUGCUACAAAAGUUACUGAAAUUAGUGAGAACCAAUUGAUAUUUCCAGCAUAAAGCUGCUCUGCAUGACAUCUGUAUAACUGCUUUGCAUGUGUGUAUUUUAAUUGUCGUUAUUGCUUGGUAAUAAUUUAUUCAAGAAUUAACAAAAUUCAGCUUGGGGUUAGAUUUUAGUAGAAUAUUGGGGAGGGUGCAACCGUUUUUUCUUUUUUAAUUCUACGUCUUCCAAAUUUAUUAACUUGUUUCUUUAAGUUCAAAUGGAUACAAUCACAUGCAGACUCUGGCAUGUCUAUGCAUAGGUAAACUUUUUCUCCCUUCACAGUAAGUAAAAUUUCAAGUAAAAUUUUGUAAGCAUAAUGGCCUUAACUCCCUAUAAAACUUCCCUGUUAUACUUUUUUUUUUUUUACAUUAACUAACAUUAAUUAUAUGUUUGUUCUAGGACAGUUGUACACUGACCAGUCUUUCGGUUGAUUUGUGGAACUUUUAACUCUUUGGUCUUUUAGAGAAUCCGAGUUCAUAAAAGACGCAGAUGAAGAGAAAGCUUCCUUGCAGAAAUCCAUCAGUAUAACUAGUGCCUUACUCACAGAAAAGGAUGCCGAGCUGGAGAAACUGAGAAAUGAGGUCACAGUGCUCAGGGGAGAAAACGCCUCUGCCAAGUCCUUGCAUUCAGUUGUUCAGACUCUAGAGUCUGAUAAGGUGAAGCUUGAGCUCAAGGUAAAGAACUUGGAGCUUCAACUCAAAGAAAACAAGAGGCAGCUCAGCAGCUCCUCAGGUAAUAUGGACACUCAGGCAGACGAGGAUGAAAGAGCCCAGGAGAGUCAGGUAAUGUUCCUGCCUUAUUGCUUUACUUUCUUGCUAUUUUUCAAAAUCAUUGAAUCUUUUGGUUUAUUUUCCUUCUUAUUUGAUGCCUUUUGUAUCAUUUAGUCUUUUGAAUGGGUAAUACAUUCCUCUAGUCCAAACAUUAAACAGAAUUAAAAAUAUAUACAUUAAAUGUCUUCCUCCAAACCUUCUCUCUCUUCUGCUCAGUUCCCAACCCUGCAAACAGUUAAUUACUGUUAUUAGUGUCUUUCCUUUUCAGAGAUUUUUUAAAGUGUGUAUAUAAGCCAGCACUAAUACAGUCUUCCCUCCCUUUUUUUUUUAACAUAAAUAAUGGCAUACUACAUAAACGGUUCUGCACUUAGCUUUUUUACAGCUAUGUAGUGUUCCAUUACGUGGAUUUACUAUAAUUUAGUCAGUUCCCUGUUGGUUGGCAAUGACCCUGGGAUGUUUCUGAUCCUUCGGGUGUAUUAUAAACAAUGCUGUAAGGAAUUAUCUUGGGCAGCUAUCAUUUUAUAUAUUAGUAUUUCUGCAGGAUGAAUUCCUAGAAGUAGAAUUGCUCUGUCAAAGGGUUUGUUACUCAUCUUAACCUUAAAAAGACUGGUUUCUUGAAAACUCAGUCUCUUAAAGCGAAAAUUAACAAAACAACUUUAGUUUUAAACUAAAACUGGGAUUAGGCCAGGAAUGGUGGCUCAUCCCUGUAAUUCCAGCUCUUUGGGAGGCCAAGGUGGGAUGACUGCUUGAGCCCAAAAGUUUGAGACCAACCUGGACAUAGCGAGACCUCAUCUCU